CCUACGGGGGGCUGCAGUGAGGAAUAUUGGUCAAUGGGCGUAAGCCUGAACCAGCCAAGUCGCGUGAGGGAUGAAGGUUCUAUGGAUCGUAAACCUCUUUUAUAAGGGAAUAAAGUGUGGGACGUGUCCUAUUUUGUAUGUACCUUAUGAAUAAAGAUCGGCUAACUCCGUGCCAGCAGCCGCGGUAAUACGGAGGAUCCGAGCGUUAUCCGGAUUUGUUGGGUUUAAGGGGUGCGUAGGCGGCCUUUUAAGUCAGCGGUGAAAGUCUGUGGCUCAACCAUAGAAUUGACGUUGAAACUGGGGGGCUGGAGUAUGUUUGAGGCAGGUGGAAUGCGUGGUGUAGCGGUGAAAUGCUUAGAUAUCACGCAGAACCCCGAUUGCGAAGGCAGCCUGCCAAGCCAUGACUGACGCUGAUGCACGAAAGCGUGGGGAUCAAACAGGAUUAGAUACCCGGGUAGUC
RNAcentral lists this ribosomal RNA (460 nucleotides) under uncultured bacterium. RNAcentral's name for it is "partial 16S ribosomal RNA". It matches the Rfam family "Bacterial small subunit ribosomal RNA", at positions 338 to 795 of the family's 1533-position model. The record is from RNAcentral.